GGUUGCAUACAGCAGAGGAAUCAUGAGCUGGUCUUUUCUUCUUCUGAUAUCCUUUGUGCCCUAUGUGUGUUGCAUCAGUUUGACCUCGUCUCCUGAUGAGGUUAAACCUCCUGGAGAAACAGUGAAGUUGUCCUGUCAGAUUUCUGGUUAUGCCCUGACUGACUAUGGUACAGCCUGGAUCAGGCAACCUCCAGGAAAAAGCAUGGAGUGGAUCGGGAUCAUAUGGGGUGGUGGAAGCAUAAAUAAUGGAGCUUCCUUUAAAACUCGGUUCAGCAUCUCCAGAGACACAAGCAGCAAUGUGCUUUACUUAGAAAUCAGCAGCCUGAAACCAGAGGACACGGCUGUUUACUACUGUGCAAAGACAGCCACAGCUAUACAACUCAGUGGGAGGGGUGUACAAAAACUUAGAAGAAGCAUCAACUUCAAUCAAACUGACAAGUAUACAUUAUAA
Molecule: non-coding RNA, 451 nt
Organism: Tachysurus vachellii
Lineage: Eukaryota; Metazoa; Chordata; Actinopteri; Siluriformes; Bagridae
Source: the annotation of a RefSeq genome assembly